Molecule: long non-coding RNA, 7567 nt
Filed under: Lactuca sativa (garden lettuce)
Lineage: Eukaryota; Viridiplantae; Streptophyta; Magnoliopsida; Asterales; Asteraceae
Description: long non-coding RNA (LSAT_LNC008586)
Source: RNAcentral
UUGCAAUCAUAGCUCUCAAAGACACUGUCAAACUCUGAUCUAAUCAAUCUUGUCCUUUAGAUAAGGGAUCGUACAGUCCUCUGUUAGAUAUCAUGCUGACAAUCCUAUGGAAUGGUUAGUCAAGCAUUUAGGUUUCUCGAUCUCUGAUUUAUUCGACAUAGAACUUAAUCGAACACAUCAAUUCAGUUCUGACCGGGCCCGACACAUAAGUCAAAUCAAAUCAUCGAGCGGCCGAGAUAUCGCUUUUACCUUCUUAGAUAAAAGUUACAGAUAAACUUCGACUUAUAUGCAUUUACUUAUUCAUUAACCAACUAUACACAACAAUACGUUUUAUAACACCAAGUUACUGAUGCGUUUUCGUAUUAUCAAUGUACAAUCAAUUAACAAAUAAUAAACCAUAUAUCUAGGUUUUAAGACUAUAUGAUAUUAUCGUCUUGCGAUCACCUUUUAUAUCGUAUUCCAUAAGGUGAUUCCAGCAAGCGCGGGUUUAUUCCAAUGCUCAAAACUAGUUCAUAAGCACUCAUGAACGUUGCAGCAAUCCUUUGCUAUGUCUAACACCAUUUAGACAUUCUACACACCAAUUCAUGACAAUCUUCAUUCAUAUCUACUCCCAACAUAUGAACGAUUGUGGACCAUUUGAACAAUUCGAUUAUUCCUAAUAAACUCAAUUAUUCUGGAAGUCAAAACAUGCAAAGUGAAACAAUAGCUAAACAAUUAACAUAAGAUAGUAACAUUACUCAUAAAUAAAACUCCUUUAUUUAAUCAUCAAAUGUUAAUUACAUUUAUCUAUUACACGUUUCUAAUACUAUCUAAUCUAUGCUAAUAUCAUCCUUCAGCCCAAUACUCCUAGCAUGCUGCAAGUGCUUAACCCUACUCAGUCCCUUCGUAAGCGGAUCUGCUGGGUUAUCUUCUGAUGAUAUCCUCUUCACUACGAGUUGUCCUUCUUCUACACGAUGUCUAAUGAAGUGAUAUUUUCUGUCGAUAUGUCUUGAUCUACCAUGAUCCCUCGGUUCCUUGGUUAAGGCAACCGCACCUUCGUUAUCACAGAAAAUCUCCAUUGGCUCCUUUAUGGCAGGUACAACUCCAAGAUCACCGAUGAAGUUCUUUAGCCAUAUUGCCUCCUUCGACGCUUCGCUCGCUGCAAUGUACUCUGAUUCGCACGUUGAAUCAGCUACGGUUUCCUGCUUGGAACUCUUCCAUGUCACUGCUCCUCCAUUUAGGGUAAAGACCCAGCCCGACUGCGAACGGUAGUUGUCCCUGUCGGUCUGAAAACUGGCGUCACUAUACCCUCGCACCUUCAAGUCAUCACUCCCUCCGAGGACUAAGAACCAUUCCUUCGUCCUCCGAAGGUACUUAAGGAUAUUCUUCACCGCAAUCCAAUGUGCUUUGCCAGGAUUCCCUUGAUAUCUGCUAACCAUGCUCAAAGCGAAGGCUACAUCAGGGCGAGUACAAGUCAUAGCGUACAUGAUUGAGCCAACUGCGGAAGCGUAUGGUACUCGGCUCAUUUCUGCUAUCUCAGCUUCGGUACUCGGACUUUGAGUCUUACUCAAUUUGGCAUUACUUUGUAUCGGUAGUUCUCCCUUCUUUGAGUUUUCCAUACUAAAACGUUUUAGUACCUUCUCUAAGUAAGUAUUCUGACUAAGUCCAAUUAGUCUCUUACUUCUUUCUCUUACUAUCCUUAUUCCCAAAAUGUAAGAAGCCUCUCCGAGGUCCUUCAUAGCGAAGCACUUCCCGAGCCAGGACUUAACCUCCUGCAGAGUCGGGAUGUCGUUUCCUAUGAGUAAUAUGUCAUCGACAUAUAGAACGAGGAAGCUUACUAUACUCCCACUGGCUUUGACAUAUACACAAGAUUCGUCUUCGCUUCGUACAAAUCCAAACUCUUUGACUUUCUCAUCGAAGCAAAGAUUCCAUCUGCGAGACGCUUGCUUAAGUCCAUAAAUGGACUUCUCAAGCUUACACACUCUAUCCGGAUGCUUCGGAUCCACAAACCCCUCUGGCUGAGCCAUGUAAACAUCCUCAGCCAACUUUCCGUUAAGGAAAGCGGUCUUGACAUCCAUUUGCCAAAUCUCAUAAUCAUGAAAUGCGGCAAUAGCUAGCAUCACUCUAAUAGAUUUAAUCUUCGCAACUGGUGAGAAGGUCUCAUCAUAGUCAACUCCGGGAGUUUGAGUAAAGCCCUUCGCAACCAAUCGCGCUUUAUAUGUGUGUACGUUUCCAUCCACGUCGGUCUUCUUCUUGAAGAUCCAUUUGCACCCAACGGUCUUACGUCCGGGCACAUAAUCAACCAAAUUCCAAACUUGGUUAUCAUACAUGGAUUGGAUCUCGCUAUCCAUUGCCUCUUUCCAUUUUGCAGACUCCGGGCCUGCCAUGGCUUCCUUAUAGCUAUUAGGUUCAUCAAGAUUUACUAGUGUACCAUCACUAAUAUACGUGUCCCCUUCGGUAGUAAUAUGAAAGCCAUAAAACUGGGGAUGAACUCUAACUCUAUCGGAACGUCUAAGAGGUAAGGAUUCGUCAAUCGGUUCAACCGGAGUUUCCUCCUCGGGUUGAGUGCCAGCGGUAGAGGUUCCUUCAUCUAUCGACUCUUGAAUCUCUUCAAGUUCGAUUUGCCUCCCACUGUCUCCUUGGCUUAUGAGUUCUCGCUCUCGGAAAACUCCUCUCCUCGCAACGAAGACAACAUUGUCCUUCGGUCUAUAGAAGAGAUAUCCAAAGGAUGUCUGCGGGUAGCCGAUGAAAAUACAUCGCUCACUUCGAGGUUCAAGCUUGUCGUGAGUAUCUCGUCUUACGAAAGCCUCGCAACCCCAAACCUUGAUAUGUGCCAACGAGGGAGCUUUCCCUGUCCACAUCUCGUGAGGUGUUUUGGCAACCUUCUUAGUAGGGACUCGGUUAAGGAUAUGGGCGGCAGUCUCUAAGGCAUACCCCCAAAAAGAGAUUGGUAGUGAAGCACGACUCAUCAUAGAGCGAACCAUAUCCAAUAAGGUUCGAUUACGCCUUUCUGCCACACCAUUCAACUGCGGUGUCCUAGGAGGCGUCAAUUGUGAAACUAUUCCACACUCCUUGAGAUAAUCGUGGAAUUCAAGACUUAGGUACUCUCCUCCUCGAUCGGAUCGAAGCAUCUUGAUUUUCCUGCCCAAUUGAUUCUCCACUUCAUUCUUGAACUCUUUGAACUUUUCAAAGGUGUCUGACUUUUGCUUGAUUAAGUAGAUAUACCCAUAUCUACUAUAGUCAUCGGUAAAAGUCACAUAGAAGCGGUUCCCAUCCUUCGUGGUUGAUCUAAACGGUCCACAUACAUCGGUAUGUAUUAGGUCCAAUAGACCCUCGCCCCUUUCACAUGUACUCGUGAAGGGUGACUUAGUCAUCUUUCCAAGCAAACAAGACUCGCAUGUGUCAUCUUCCCUAAGGUCGAAUGACUCCAACACUCCAUCCUUUUGGAGUUGGGCUAUGCGUUUCUUGUUGACAUGUCCAAGACGACAAUGCCACAAGGAUGCUUUAUCCAUACUAGUGGAAGAAUCAAUAUUCAAAACAUCAUUUCCUAAGUUAUCAACAAUCAUAACGGUUUCAUAUAUUCCAUUACAUGGUAUAGCUUCAAAGUAAAAGACACCAUUUAGAUAAGCCAAAAUAGAACCAUUCUCAUUAUUAAAAGAAAAUCUAAAUCCUUGUCUAUAUAAACCAUGAAAUGAAAUGAUGUUUCUUGCCAUUUCUGGCGAAUAGCAACAAUUGUUCAAAUCUAAAACUAAACUAUUCCUAAGCACUAAGGAAUACACUCCAAUCUUGGUCACAGGCGACGAUCUUCUGUUCCCCAUGAUUAGAUUGAUCCUUCCUUGCUCCACAUCCCUACUUCUUCUUAGUCCCUGCACAUUAGAACAAAUGUGAUAACCACAACCGGUAUCAAGAACCCAAGAAAUAGCAUGAUUAGAAUCGUUAGAUUUGAUUGUAUAUAUACCUGCGAAAGAUGGCUUGAUCUUUCCUUCUUUGAUUGCUUGCAGGUAAUCCGGGCAGCUUCUCUUCCAAUGUCCUAUCUUGUGGCAGUGGUGGCACUCUGCCUCCUUCGGGUUAGAGCAGGGCUUAGCGGGAUCAACUUUGGUCCCACUAGAAGAGGCACCAUCUCGGGCUUUCACCUUGCGAUAGUUCUUCGAUGAAGCUUUCCUCUUCUUUCCCUUCCCUUGUCCAAUAGCCAAGACAGGAGCAGCGGGCGGAUUGGGAGUAGGUGCAACAGACUUGUCUUUGAAGUUGCUCUCAGCAACCCUCAAGAGACCUUGGAGCUUGCUUAGGGUGACCUCUUCUUUGUUCAUGUGGUAGGUCAUCCUAAAUUGAUUGUACAUCGGAGGCAAAGAGUGAAGCACCAUGUCGAUCGCCAAAUCCUCACCGAAGUCAACAUUUAACUUGCGAAGGCGGUCGACAUACCUUUGCAUCUUUUGCAAGUGCACGGUAAGAGAUUCUCCAUGACCCAUCUUCGCGGAAAUCAUGUUAGUGAAAAUCUCGUACCUCUCUUGUCUCGCGUUUUGGUGGUACCUCUCCAAUAAGUCUUGGUGCAUCUCGUACGGGUACAUGUCCUCGUAGGACUUUUGGAAUUCGGAGUUCAUGGUGGCGAUCAUGAUGCAAUGUACCUUCGUUGCAUCUCGCUCAUGAGUUUCAAAAGCGGUGAUUUCGGCGGGAGUAGCAAUUUCGGGGUUGAUUUUCUCGAGCUUCUCAUCGAGGACAUACUCCUUAUCCUCAUAGCGAGCAAUGGUGCGAAUGUAUCUUAUCCAUUCGCUAAAGUUCGUUCCAUCGAAGGUGACCUUUUGGCAAAGGCUCAUCAACGUGAAAGAACUAGCAGCAGCGUUGUUUGCGUUCGACAUCUACAAUUAGAAAAGGACAAAGAUAGAUUAGAAUAAGAAUCCCUAAUUAUCACCCAAUAAGAAAAUUAGGGCUAGGAUCCAACAAUAACAUUUACAUACUAGAAAAGGGAUGCCGUAAUCUAACAUGCAAAUAAAUUGAAGGUAAGUGAAUGACGAUUCACUAAUUCUCCAUCACAAAACUUAAACUAUUAGUCCUAAGUGUUUUUGAGAAUUCCUAGGUUCGGAUGAGAUUCAUUGAAACUAUUCAAUGGCAUGUUUAAAUCUCGAUAUGCCCCUCUUGUUUGUGACUGGGAUGCCGAGGAUCACAAAGCGGGUGUGAAUUACCAUGCAAAUUCACAUGGUGCCUUCAUUGUAACGAUCACCUAUUCGAUGUGCCGGUAAACCACACACGCUCCAUCGAACUAUGAUAAACAAUGAAUCACCCUUUGCCACCUUCGCUUAGAACCAAUUAGUGUGCCGGUAAACCACACACGCUCCACUAACAUCUUAGCAAGGUGCAAAGUGUAAUUUCAUGGGAUUGCAUCAAUUCACUUUUCCUAAAGUAACUAGGAUUGGGAAUUUUUAAAAUAUGUGUAGUUACUUUGUAUUUCUUAUUAUACUUUUAAUGAGAGGAUGAGGUUGCCCUAUCCUACCCGUUCGGCUAACGACCCUCCACCAAUCAAGCAAGCGGUGGGUGUGAGUGUACACCCAUUAAGCGCCAUUUUAUAGGCCGCAACCUUAUACCCACCUUAUAGAUCGGCUUCGUGAAUGAGGCCUACUAACGGUAAGACUAGCAUUUAGUUAUACAUAUAUAUAUUAUUCUAGUAAUAUCAUAUUAGUAUAGGGUUGUAUUUUAAAACUUUUAAAAUCUAGGGUUUGAAAUUUAAGUUGUCUAAAUUAAAGCUUUUAAUCACAAAAGUAAAUUUCAAAACAUGAGGGUAGGUUUUAAACAUUUAAAACAUGGAGGAUCAAAUAACAAAUAAUUCCAAUUAACAAUUAAUAUCCUAAUUAUCUAUAUUUGAUUUAUUCAAGAUUUCUUUUUAAGAUAAUUACCAAAAUAAUUAAAAUAAUUAAUUAAUUAUCAUAUAAGGAAAUUAAAUAUUUAAUUAGUUGAUAAUUACCUUUAACUAGAUCAAGAUAAUAGUUAUAUUUAUCAGAAAAACGAAUUAAUGUUGAUCUAAUUAGUUUAUGGUAAGUUAAGAUAAGAUAAACACAAAGAAAUCCCGAAUCUGGCCAUUCCUGACGCCUGGACUCGCCGAGUGCACAAGGGGACUCGCCGAGUCAGGCCUACUCGCCGAGUCCACCUUGGGACUCGCCGAGUCAGUGACUCAGAAACCUAAAAAUCGAAUUUUGCAGGUUUGUUUCAGUUAAUCAAGCAACAAUUUAAAGAAAACCAAGCUAGGCUCUGAUACCACUGAUGGGUUUUAGCCAUAAGAACUUUCCUAUGUGCGCAUGCAAAACCCUAAUGCUUGGAUCUAGGCUUUCUAAUAAACAUGCUUUGAAUCCAAGUCUUCUAAUGACUAAUUAGGUUAAAUAACAACAUUGAAACAGAUCUAGAAUCAUACCUUUGAGUUCCUUGUUGAUCUUGAGGUCUUGGAGCUUCUAGAGUCACAAAUGUCACUCCUCUAAUGGCUUACAAACACCAAUAGCAAGAAGAAUGAUUUAGGAGAGAGGAGAGGGGAGGAAUUUCGACCAGAGGUUCCUUACUUUAGGUUAAGUGUCGAAUUCCAUCAGCCAUAGGGUCUAUUUAUACUUGUAGACUCCUUAAGGGUUACAACCUAAACCCUAAUUAGAUAAUCUUCUCUUAAGGCUAUCCAAAUCCAUUCCUAAGAUAAUCAUAUGGACGAUUUUAGCUAUCCUAAACCUCUUAGAAUUCGUCCAUAGCAUAUCCAAAUGGAUUUACAGUCUAAAGCUUAACUAUCAAACAAUUGACAGUUUAUACCCCUUUAUUUAAUUAAUCUCUUUAAGUCACCAAAUUAAUUCUAAUUAAUUCUAUGACUUAUAUUAAUCAAAUAACAAAUAUAUUAUUCAUUAUAUUAUUCCCAUAAUAUAUUAAUAAUAUUUACUCUCUCUUAUUAAAUCAUCCUAUCAAGUUGCUAUGGUGAAGGCAACCCAAAAGGACCAUGCACAACCGGAUCAAAUACUUGCCUAAUAUAGUUACAGCCUUAGACACUAUUCCAACAGUCUCCCACUUGGAUAAGUCUAGUAACUAUACAAGUACAAUUCGGUUUGCAAUCGUAGCUCUCAAAGACGCUGUCAACUCUGAUCUAAUCAAUCUUGUCCUUUAGAUAAGGGAACGUACAGUCCUCUGUUAGAUAUCAUGCUGACAAUCCUAUGGAAUGGUUAGUCAAGCAUUUAGGUUUCUCGAUCUCUGAUUUAUUUGACAUAGAACUUAAUCGAACACAUCAAUUCAGUUCUGACCGGGCCCGGCACAUAAGUCAAAUCAAAUCAUCGAGCGGCCGAGAUAUCGCUUUUACCUUCUUAGAUAAAAGUUACAGAUAAACUUCGACUUAUAUGCAUUUACUUAUUCAUUUACCAACUAUACACAACAAUACGUUUUAUAACACCAAGUUACUGAUGCGUUUUCGUAUUAUCAAUGUACAAUCAAUUAACAAAUAAUAAACCAUAUAUCUAGGUUUUAAGACUAUAUGAUAUUAUCGUCUUGCGAUCACCUUUUAUAUCGUAUUCCAUAAGGUGAUUCCAGCAAGCGCGGGUUUAUUCCAAUGCUCAAAACUAGUUCAUAAGCACUCAUGAAC